Molecule: transfer RNA, 69 nt
Filed under: Anolis milleri (Miller's anole)
Lineage: Eukaryota; Metazoa; Chordata; Lepidosauria; Squamata; Anolidae
Description: tRNA-Trp
Source: RNAcentral
AAGAACUUAGGUUAAUUAAACCGGGGGCCUUCAAAGCCCCAAACAAGGAACGUACCCCCUUAGUUUUUG